CCUACGGGUGGCUGCAGUGGGGAAUAUUGGACAAUGGGCGAAAGCCUGAUCCAGCCAUGCCGCGUGUGUGAAGAAGGCCUUCGGGUUGUAAAGCACUUUCAGUGGGGAAGAAAGCCUUGGGGCUAAUACCCUCGAGGAAGGACAUCACCCACAGAAGAAGCGCCGGCUAACUCCGUGCCAGCAGCCGCGGUAAUACGGAGGGUGCGAGCGUUAAUCGGAAUUACUGGGCGUAAAGCGCGCGUAGGCGGUCUGAUAAGCCGGUUGUGAAAGCCCCGGGCUCAACCUGGGAACGGCAUCCGGAACUGUCAGGCUAGAGUGCAGGAGAGGAAGGUAGAAUUCCCGGUGUAGCGGUGAAAUGCGUAGAGAUCGGGAGGAAUACCAGUGGCGAAGGCGGUCUUCUGGACUGACACUGACGCUGAGGUGCGAAAGCGUGGGUAGCAAACAGGAUUAGAUACCCGAGUAGUC
RNAcentral lists this ribosomal RNA (465 nucleotides) under Vreelandella stevensii. Its description in RNAcentral is "partial 16S ribosomal RNA". It matches the Rfam family "Bacterial small subunit ribosomal RNA", at positions 338 to 795 of the family's 1533-position model. Lineage: Bacteria; Pseudomonadati; Pseudomonadota; Gammaproteobacteria; Oceanospirillales; Halomonadaceae. The record is from RNAcentral.